AUGGCUUUAGUAUGUGAUCUUUGGUUGCCAAGUAGUUUGGGCACGAUGACAGGGCCAAUUUGGCCAUCUAUUGAGGCCGAAAAUUUUGAGUUGAGGCCUGGACUUAUUGCUCUCGUCUUGCAGAAUCAGUUUAGAGGAUUACCCAAUGAAGACCCUCAUGAGCACAUUUGUAAUGUCCUGGAGUAUGCCAAUACUGUCCAGUACCAUGGCGUUUCCCAAGAUGCUAUCAAGUGUAUGCUGUUCACAUUCUCUCUCAGAGAUGCUGCUAAGGACUGGUACUAUUCUUUGCCAUCAAGAUCAUACACUUGGGGUGAUAUUUCGCAAGCUUUCCUGCACAGAUAUUUUCCACUUUACAAGCAAGCUGCAAUUCGUGACCAGAUCCUCAGUUUUGUGCAAGAUGGAAGUGAGAGCUUGUAUGCAGCUUGGGAGAGAUAUAAGUAUUUGCUUAGAAAAUGUCCUAAUCAUGGGCAAAAGGAUUGGUUAGUGCUCCAGAUAUUCUAUAGAGGGCUGACACAUGCUUCGAGAGAUCUUGUUGAUAUGUCCGCUGGUGGAACAAUCAUGAACAAGACCGUUGAGGGUGCAAUUAUUCUCAUUGAGAGCAUUGCCUUCCACCAAAUGCAAUGGGGUUAUGAAAGGCCUAGUUCAAAUCCGAAGGUUGCAAGCCAUCUGCAAUCCGAAGCUGUGUGUUCCAUAAGUGAACAGAAAUCAUCCAUGGUGCCUAAUAUUCAAAACCAGCAUGUUCCAUUCCGGGGACAACAACAUUUCAGAGCUGAAUUAGAUCCUCCAUGUAGAAAGAUUGAUCUUACUUCAAGUAUCCUUGAUGAUGAUUAUGAUAUUUUUCAAGAUGAUGCAACCAUUGUAGAUCAGAUGGAAACCAAAGUAGCAGAUCCAAUACCUCAUGGCAAUGAAACUGUCCAGACUGAGUCAAAGUGGCAAGAAGAUGUUUAUGAGGAACCUACUCUGAUUGAUGCUAAGUUGAGACAACAAGAUAUGGAGAAAUUCACUUGUGUUAGUCAACUAUGUGACUGGUGGAAUUUAGUCGUGGCACCAAUUGCCCACACUUGUGUUACAACUGUAUUUGGGAUAUUUGUCAAGAAGAAAUCAUUAGCUCCACCGGUGGUUGCCUCUAUCUCAGUUAAAGAGAGUAUCUCAGAGAAGAAUAGUGAAGAUGAGAUUCCAACACCUUCACAUUCAGCUGAGCAAGAUAGCGAGAGUCCAGAGGAAGAGAUACUUCAGAUCCAAGAAGAAAUUCUCGAAGCCAAGGCACAAGAUGAUCCAGAGCUCGAACAACAAAGUGAUCAAGUUGAAGAUUCAUCAUCUAUUACUCUUGAAGAAGCAAAAGAAGUUGAUGUGAUUGAAGAUUAA
Molecule: ribosomal RNA, 1365 nt
Filed under: Triticum aestivum (bread wheat)
Lineage: Eukaryota; Viridiplantae; Streptophyta; Magnoliopsida; Poales; Poaceae
Description: partial small subunit ribosomal RNA
Source: RNAcentral